UAGACCCUGCCUGGCAGAGGUGUGGCUCGAAGCCUACUUCUGCCAGAGCCUCUGGUUGCAGCACAACCUGCUGCCACCCAUCAUUAAGGGUGCCCGCCCCAUGAUAAGGGUAACGAAUUGUGGGACAGGCCACUGCACCGGGGAAGUUCUCCGUCCUUGUCCCAGCUGCUGUGACUAACUCAGGUCACCUAGUAGCAGGCCCAUCUCCAUGGCUCCAGGCCAAGGCCCCAGUUUUUGCAGCCCCCAGGCAAAGCCCCGUCUCCCAGCAAGAUUGUGGUUUCUAACUACACACUGGAGUAAUGUUUUCUUCAUCCGUUUCCUUGAUGAAGGGAAAAGAGCAGCUAUAAAAUCCUACAUGACAGUUUGGGGGUUGCUGGCUGUUAAAAAGGAGGUGCCACUCUGACUGUGCUGGGCAGGGAGAAGAGAGAACUGUUCCUAGGCUAGUAAGAGAAGGGUAGUUUCAAUUCUGAAGUUAGCAAAGGAAGGGGAGCUGUUCUCCAUCUCCUCUCCCCCACAAGCACUUCUACCUUAACUGUAAUCCUGGAAGAGUUUUAUGGAGAGAGGAGCUGUAUUUUAGGCCAGCUAUUCAUGACCCAGUUUCUUAGAUAUAUCUACUGUCAUCAGUAUUGCCAACUCAUGAGGAGGUGCCCAAAAGAGUUGCUUGGCGCAAACUCAUGAGAUUUUAAAAUCUAAUACACUUUAGGUUCUUUGUAUAUGCCUUCUGGUUUGUAAGUUCUUAGGGUUCACAUUUUCAAGCUUUUCUCUAACUGAAAGCUAUAAAAUUACUUUUAAAAUUAAAGCUGCAAGUCUCACUUAGUCACAUGACUCCAGAAGUUGCUGCUUUAAUAAAAACAUCAGCUAUCCCAAGACUCACUAAAAUCACGAGUUUGCAAAACUGUAACAUACUCUUUAGUGAGUCAAAUAAAUUACUAGUGCAACAGCAUCUCCAAACUUAUUUUAAUGUAAUUCCACAUCAAGAAUUAAUUUGUUCAGUGUUUACAGACCGUGUCUUCUUACAUAGGUCAGUAAUUUUACUCACAAAUAUAUGUAUGUUACUCUGGAUCCUGGGUAGUUUUCAAUAUUUCACUUGUUAAAUGGAAAGAGAGGAUUUUUUUUUAAUCUAUAGUUUUUAAACUAUAAGAAAGAAGAAAGCAACCUAAUAGGAGCUAUGCACUUAUUAGGUAGAAGAGAGAGAAGGGCUAGCUAUAGUAGGCAGAGGCAAAAUAAUUGUUUUAGCAUUGCAGCUGAUUGUUUCUUCCAAAUUUCAAGGGUCAGUUACCAUACAGGUAUGCUGGGAGAAGCUAUAAAAGGGUAAACUCAAUGAUUCCUAGGCAGUUAGGCCCUUUGGAAGGUUUUUAGUAUACAACAGUGAGUGCUGGAUUAGGCCCAAUGAAAGCAAGUUACACGUACAAAAAAUAUAUUGUAGUCUUCUCUUUAGAAGGGCAUUUUUGAGUACGAGACAGCUUGAGCUGUCUAGAGCUACAAACUGGCAUCUUCGUUUGUCAUAGUCUCAUGGCCAUUUGUUUUCCUGUGAAUUUUUAAAUAGCUUUUGUAAACUUGUUGUGUAAUCUAAAGUUAUAUUUGAGUGCUUUAAAUAUUCAUAAUGUAUGUCUUACUGCUUCAUGCUAAAAACUGAUCUGUAGUGACAAUCUGUUCAAAAACUCUUUCCAGCUCUAUAUAGAUUAGCCUAUGCUACUUUAGGAAAAAAUGGAUUGGAAGGAAGAGAAAGCUCCACAUAUGCCCUUGAGCGAAGGCAAUGAGUGAAUUAAUAAGAGGCAGGUCAAGACUCACAGUUCUUCCUUUGAAGGAAAGUACAGAGUUAUGGAUGGGAGAAAUGGCACUUGUUUGGCCCACUGAAAUUGUCAUUUAAUCAACACUUUUAAAAAGGUGCUGUGAGGUUUUUAAACUAUUACAAAUUUCCAGUCUGUACUCCUCCUAAAGCUACAUUUUCAUGUAUAGUUUUGGAGCAUUAAGACAAUUAAAUCAGAUCAGCCCAGGAUACAUUUGUUGUCUGAUUUGGAUUUAAAAUACAACUAUCUUCACAGUCUGCUAAUAAGGGCUUUCAGUGCUGUGUACUCCUUUCUUCCUGAUACUUGGAUAGACACAGACAGAUCAGUUAUGUGGUUAAUUGCCAGAUAUUUGCAGUGUAAGUGAAUGUAGAAAAAUCUUGCAUGCAUGAAUAAAUUCUUGUUUUCUACCUGCUCCACAAAACUCCAUUUACAAAUGUAGUAAGCAAAGUGUCAAGAUUUUUAAUCCUAGCAGACCAUUUCAAGUUAAAUUUUUUCAGAACCGCUGUUGUCUGAGGUCAUCUAAUAAAGAAGGAUGAAGUCACAGAUCUUUUUUUGGAACUGUCAGUAGGGAAGCCUGUGCUGCGUGACACUCUUGCUUCUGGUCCUCAGAGUGAUUAACAUGUAAUACUCCAUUGUGUUAGAGGUGGCAGCAUUUUGCACAAGGCCAAAAUAGUCAAAAGUGGUAAUUAGUUCUGGGUGCCUCAACUUUUGGUGCUCCAUUUGAGACAUGUUAGGUUCUGAUAUAAGUGCUAAGCACCAACAACUUCAAAAGGAGACAUGGAUACUCAUUACUCUUGAAAAUCAGGCCCAAGGUGGUACAAAAAUCAAGGGGCACUCCUGAAAAUUGUAAUGUUAGUGUCUUUUCUGUUCAGUGUUGUGUUCCUUGUUUUGGUUAGCAUUCUCCUCAGGCUAAUCUUGUUGCCAGGCUUCCUGCAGGGUAGAAAAAUAGUAGUUGCAGAAGAAAAUCCUCAUUCAGGAACUGGUUAGAAAAAUCAUGUCACGAAAUGUAUGUUCAGAUUCUACAAAGAAAAUAAUAGUGAGGUGUGGAGCAAUGUUAACUAUGCAGGUCACCUGUGUAAACAAAUGUAUCCCGAAUGCAACUAAAUUCAGUGAAAAUGAUUAUUUGUACUUCUGAUGGGCCAACUGGAUGAUAUGCAAAUGUCUGCUUCUUGCCUAUCUAUCAGAGGUGAAUAAUAAUUUUGCUGGAUCUUUCUCUCUCUCUCUCUCAUUAGUUGAGAAGGAAGAACUCACAAUUGUUAAAUACCUUCAACCAUAUAAAUUAUUUCCAGCUUCAGCCUAUGUUUUUUUGUUCAGCACAUGUGGAACAAUACAUAUAAUAUGGCCUUCAUGUUUUGGUGGCCAUCAGGCUUUAUUGUUCAUCAAGGUUUCUGUUUAUUUACUAUGGCAAAACUAAGGUCAGUAUUUACCCACUGCAUCAAUAUGUCUCAAUGUGCAGACCUCAGAGUCUGCAUACUGCUUUUGACGGUCUGUUCAUCUUUCACAGAAAUUCUAAUCACAUUCCAAUCUCUCAGCUUUCCAACUGCAAAAUUUCACAUCCACUCCACAACGAAAACUUGAGUGGUUCUAAAGAUUGAAACUCAGUCACUCAGCAUCAUCCUAACACCCAAAAUCUUUCUGCUAUCUUUGUAAUUAAAUCUUAGCUUUUGAAACUAUAUUUUAAAUUAAGAUUACAUCUCUUGUGUGGAGUGAUUUUACUCUCUAUAUCUGCUGGAGCUCUGAGGAUGCUUGCUUGUAUUUUUCCAGGCCUCGUCUUGCAGCACUGUCCUUUUGGCAGAGAUGAAAUGGAUGGGACUCCCUUGAGAACUGAAUUUUCCUCCUGAGUUAACUGGAGGGGUUGCUGUUGAAUGUUGUAAGGCAGUGUCUCUCACCGCAGUAUCAUAGAUUUAAACUGAGCAUUCCAGAAUGUAAACCAACAAACUGAAGAGUUGUACUAUCAUGCUAGUCCUUUAUUAAGCACAGUUUCAUUUUGCAAACUUUGAUACCCAAGAUUUCUAUAUCCAGUACAAGAUUUAUUUUUGUUCCUCUCAAUCAGUGUUCAAUAUUUAUUUGUUUUAAUCUGCAUUCCUUCUGACACAUUCUAAGAAGCUUUAAAAUGGGGGAGGGGGAUUUUAUCAUUUGUCUUUUUCUAUUAAGCAAACAUUUAUUUCCCUUCCCCCCACCCACAAUGUGUUUUUUGGAUCAAGUUGACAUGAGCAUAAGUGUUUUUGUUUAGCAGCUACAAUUAAUUGUAACUUGCAUUCAUAGUGAUUCUUUGCAUGGCAGCAUGAUUGUCAGUACAGAUGUGGAAACAUUACUUGCUAGUUAAACAUUGCUGCAGAACCUGCAAAGCAAGAAUAAAAUGUAGAUUUAUAGGAACCUAUAAACUGCCAUUGUCAUGGUUUUCAAGUUCUUGUUGAUGAGAGUAUUAGAUUUAGAAGUAAACAAAUAAUCUAAGCAAGAUUGAAUCUGGUACCUAAAGCGUUUGACACUGCCUUCUUAAAAAAUCCUAUCUUUAAAAGCGUACUAUAAAUUAUUAAUGUCAGAUAUGUUUUGUUGUCACCGUAUCCCACAGCUUUCCCUGGCGACAGCUGGCGGUGUUUAAUUUCACUCAAAGAUCCUGUGAACCAUUUGUUCAUGCGUCAUUUUUCUAUAACAGACAUUUUUUAACUAAUUAGGAACAACCUCAUACUAGUUACCUUAGGUCUUAAAACCAUGAUUUAAACAAAUCCCAUGUUGUCAUUUAUAGGAAUUUCUGUGUAGUGACAAAUGGUCUACAAACACAUAGGCAGAAGGAGAAAGGGCUUUAAGGAUGCUCGCCACCAAAUUUCAUACAAGUUUGUAAACUGAAUAAAUAUAACAGUACCUAAGGGUUGAUUGCAAAAAGGAAUAGCUCAGUAUGCUCCCUGAAUGUGCCUUGGGGUAAUGGCUUUUCUGUAAAGGAUAAAAAGGAUUUGAGGACAAGAUACCUGGAGGCUUAAACUGUCACCAUAUGGAGUGGAAUUACAUGCAGGUUCUUAAGUGUUUGGGUUUUUUUCUUUGUCAGUAUAUUUUAUAUACUUUUGUAACUAUCUCUUUGUGUGAACUAAGUAUGAGCUAGUUCACCUGAUUGAUGAUAGCUGGGGGAAGAAGGGUAAAUUGAAUGGGCCAAAGUGGUCCCUGGUAUAACUCCAUAGCAGUCACUGAAAUUAAGUCAUGGAUAAAUUUCUCCCAACACUAACAAGUGAUUUUUUUUUAUUGUUUUAAACUUAUAAUUAGAAAUGGACCUGAACAGAAAUCCAGAUCCAAAGAACCCUGACAUUUGGGAGAGUCCAGAGCCAGACUUCAUGACUAGCUCCAGUUUAACUAAUGGAAUUAACCAAAAUUGCAGACUGACACAUCCCCAUACUUCAAGCAUGUUCUCAUGUCUGUUUCAACUCUGCAGCCUGACCCUGUGUCAACUUGUAGGGAUGAAUUUCAUCUGAUUAGAAUAGCAGAAGAGAAGGAAAUUAAUACUCUGUCGUCAUCGCUGGAGACGGUUUGGUACAAUUAUCUUGGGGAAAGCAGGUUCAGCCAUUACAGCAACAUGACUGGAGACAGAUGAAAAUUCAGCAUGGAGAGAGAAAAAUAAAAAGCUCUGACUACAGGUGAGAGAACAACAUUUGUGUCCCAUUCUGAGGAUUUUGAGAGAGUCUCUGUCAGCAACAAUAGCUUCCUGCAGAGAGACACCUGGUAAGAGGAGUCCAGUAACAUGAGCCCUUUCAAAAGGUACUGGACUGAUACCAUAUUUUGUUUGAGGGCUGUAGCUUGAUUGUUUGGGACAGUAAUUGACUGAAGAGUAUGUUAGUUUCUGUAUUGUUUUUAAAGAGAUAAUUUUUUCUGUCUUAUGACUCCUAUAAUGACUGACAUCAGGAAUUUUUUUUUAAUAGGUCUUCUAUUCAGGGAGGCAAAUAGAGGUUACCGAUUGACUCUUUAAAUUAAAGGAUGUAUUUUAACAUAUGGGAUUACAAAAUGUAUACUAACUUUUAAGAUAGUAUCUACACUACAGUUAAACAUUUGUCCCAUAACCUUGCUACAACACAUGCGUUGUGCAGUAGAGAUGCAAUACAUCCAAAGCUUUAGCCUGAUUAUAGAACAUCCCCACUACAAAUUGCGAUGGUUAACAUAUUUCUGUAAUAUCGAGUAUAUAUGGUAUGUGAUAAUUCCUGUUCAGAGGAACUUAACUUCUAAAUUGAUUCAGAACGGUGGGAGAGGGGGAGAAGAGGGAAGGAAGGAGGGAUAUGUAGAAUAAGGCUGAGGUUGUUUGCAUAGUACAGUUGCAGUAACCUAGUUCCUAAGGUUUGGUUUGUUCAGAAUAACUUUUAAAAUUGUUUAAAGGGAUAUCAUUAGAGAAUCAAUUGAAAGAUAGGUGGGGGGAAAUGGAUAGUGAGGAGGGAGGUUGCAUGGCAUACAGGAUCAAGGUGGUGGUUCUACAUAUAGGUAGUAACAUGAGAGAAGACAUGGAGUUCUCCUUAAAUCUCAGAAUAUUGAUUUUGUUUUUUUGCUUUUGGAAGUGCUUAAAUGUUAAAGUCUUUCUGCGUCCUUUGGCAACCUCUGCUAAAUACAGGACACUGCCUGUAUUUAGGCAUUGUAACCUUGGCAUCUAACUAUUCUAUUACAUUAGAAUCAUCUUCAUUUUGGCAGUCCGCCAACAUCCCAAAAUGACUAGCUGCUAAAAUGUCAUCAUGGAGGAUUAACCAAGUACCCCACACACAGCUGGAUUGACACUGAAAGCAGAGCUGCUCAUUUGCACACUUCUCCAUGCACAAGUUGCCCAUGCCCCGGGCAGGCAGUUUCUGUCUUAGGUAAGUGGAACCCUAUUGGGUCACACUACCUUCACAGCAUUGUCAAACAUUAGUCUUUUAGUCCUUCACUUCUGUGAAGGGCUGGAGACCCUAUAUGCUGCUCUUCAAGAUACUUCUGGCCAACUGAAGGGAAAUGCUGCUCAAUUCCAAAUAAUCCAGACCCUCCUAUGCUGAGAUGGCUGGUCACUACAAUACAGACCUUUUGAAUAGAUGUGGAUUUAAAGAGGAAAAUGUAGUAAAGAAGCUUCCAGGGCUCCAAGACUAACUUGCAACCCCCUAAAUUCCCUGUGAUAAAAAUUUACAGUCACAUAAUCUUGUUACAAGGAAAGAGGAAAUGUUAUGUAACAGUUGCAUACAUCUGCACUAGUUUAAUACAUACAAGUUCAGUUGAAUGCUACCACAACAUUAAUUUGGUGUGCUCCCUAAAAAGUUAGAUAGGUACGGGUUUGUUUUUAUAUUCCUGUGCUUAAAUGAGUUGGGGAAACUAUUUUUUAAUAUGAAACCCACAGGAGCAGAAGGGGCUCAUCAGUCAAUGGCUGAAGCAGUAUUGCCUUUUGAUGACAGGAUGUCCUGAAUCCUGCAGUAAAGAGUUAACAGUAGCAAGCCAUCAACUGGAUGUCACAUCCUUAGCUAAUUGUAAAUGGGGAAUCAUCCUCCAAUGGAGGUGUUGCUUGUGGGGACCCCCUUCAUUAAUCUGUUUUUGGUCCAAUCCUGUUUAAUACCUCUAUUAACAACCUGGAAGAAAACUUACCAUGCCUGAUAAAACAGAUGACAAACAGCAGAGGGGUAAAUGACUGAGUUCUACAGAGCAAUCUCUUGAAGAUCAUGCACUCUAAUACAAUUAAAUGUAAGAUUUAUAUAUAGUAGAAACCAGAAUGUAGGUCACCCAAGGUGGAGGACAGUAUUUUGGAAAGAAGUGACUCUACAGGGCUUUGUGUUACGGGGAUAACCGGUUGAACAUGAGCUGACAGUAUGAUGCAACUGGCUAAGGGCGCAAAGGCAAUAAACUUAUUUGUAUAAGUAGGGGAAUACUGAGUAGAAGUAGGGAGAUGUUACCACUACUGCAUGUAUCAGCACUGAGACAGUUACUGGAAGACUCCUGUACACUUCUCAUGUCUGCUUUUGAAAGAAGUUUACUCCUGGGGCGAUUCUGUGUGACUGUAUUCGCACAGAAAACAGGCCCCAGCCUUACAGUGACAGAGCAGGGCUUGCAAUCUAAUUAGCUUAACAAAAAGAAGGUUAAAGAGGUGACUUGAUCAUGGUCUAAAGCUAUGUCUACGCUACCACUUAUGUCAGCAAAACUUGUCACUCGGGGUGAAUAUUUCACCCCUCUGAGCAACAGAAGUUACACUGGCAUAAGUAAGUGCUAGUGUGCACAGAGCUAUGUUGGUGGGAGAGCUGCUCUUGCUGACAGAACUUAUGCUGCUCCCAGGGUUGGUUUUUUAUGCUGCUAACUCUUUAAUCUUCAUUGAGUGUCUUCACCACAUGUGGUACAGGUGCGCUGCUGUAGCACUAGGUGUAGACAUGGCCUAGGUAUCUACAUGGGGGGAAAGAUUGACAGUAAGAUUUCUUUCAUCUAGCAGACAAAUGUCUAAGAUUCAGGGAUUGGAUCUGCAACUAGGUAAGUUCAUACUAGAAAUCGGACAUUUUUUAUAGGAGAGUAAUUAAACAUUGGAACAACUUAGAAAGAUAGGGUGGAUUCUCCAUCACAUGAUGUCUUUCUAAAAGAUAUGCUCUGGCUAAUCCAGAAGUUAUGGACUUAAUACAGGAAUCAUUGGGUGAUGGAUUUGUCAUGUAGGAUGUCAGACAAUUGUUAUGGUCUCUUCUGGCCUUAAUCUUAUAUUCUGGAGAAUGAGAAGGCAGUAGCAAGACGAUAGUGAUGUAUCGCACUGCUAUAUACUAGCCCAAUCUGACCCUUUGACUAUAGUAGCCUAUAUUACUAUGAAGUCUUUAUAUAGUGUGGGAAAGUUUACAGGGUGUUCUAGAAAUGCACUAAGAUAGCUCUUUCCAGGAAGAUGCUAUAUUCUGUCAUACAAGAAACCUGACCCGGGAGGGGAGGGUAAGGAGAGAUUAUUGGAGAGGAGAAUGGAUGGCUAUUUGGUGGAAAUAGGCUAGUGGCUCUCAACCUUUCUAGACUGCUGUACCCCUUUCAAAAGUCUGAUUUAUCUUGCAUACCCCCAAGUUAUACCUCACUUAAAAAACUUGUUUACACAAUCAGACAUAAAAAUACCCAAGUGUCAUUGCACACAGUGAAAAAUUGCUCAUUUUCACCAUAUAACUAUAAAAUCAAUUGGGGUGUAAAUAUUGUACUAUUUCAGUGUACAGUAUAUAGAGCAGUAUAAACAAGUCAUUGUAUGGAAUUUUAGUUUGUUCUGCCUUCACUACUGCUUUUUAUGUAGCCUGUUGUAAAACUAGGCAAAUAUCUAGAUGAGUUGAUGUAAUUCCCGAAAGACCUCUGUGUACCCGCAGAGGUGUACUACUGUCAGGGGUUCUUUGCUGUGUAUUCUCAUCUAGAUCUCUUCAUUUUCAACCUUUGACAUCACUUCUGUCCCUGUUUUUUCCAUUUGUUGUCCUCAAUAUACAGGUGCAGCCUGGGUCCAAUGGCUGCCCCCCUUUGAGGAGGCAGACCUAGACAUGCUUGACCCAUUACCCCCAAAAAGUACCAGGGUUUAGGUCAACUUAACUUCAUCACAUAAGGUGUGACAUUUUUCACAGCCCUGAGCAAUGUAGUUAAACCAAUCUAAUUUUGUAGAGUAGACCAGCCCUGACUUCAUUCUAAUGAGUCAAAAUGGCAAAUGAAAUUUAACGUGGAUAAAUGUAAAGUAAUGCAAAUUGGAAAAAAUACCCUAAUUAUACAUACAAUAUGAUGGGGCCUAAUUUAGCUAUACCUAAUCAGGAAAGAGAUCUUGGAGCCAUCGUAGAUAGUUCUCUGAAGACAUCCAUGCAGUGUGCAGCAGCAGCAGCCAAAACAAACAUGAUGUUAGGAAUCAUUAAAAGAAUAGACAAUAAGACAGAGAAUCUCUUACUGCUCUGAUAUAAAUCCAUGGUACGCCCACAUCUUGAAUACUGUGUACAGAUGUGAUCUCAUCUCAAAAAAAGAUAUACUGGCAUUAGAAUAGGUUCACAGAAGGGCAACUAAACCUAAAAAUGAUUAGGGGUUUGGAACGGGUCCCAUAUGAGGAGAGAUUAAAGAAGCUAGGACUUUUCAGCUUAGAAAAGAGGAUACUAAGGGGGGAUAUGAUAGAGCUAUAUAAAAUCAUGAGUGGUGUGGAGAAAGUGAAUAAGGAAAAGUUAUUUGUUCCCAUAAUAUAAGAACUAGGGCCCACCAAAUGAAAUUAACGGACAGCAGGUUCAAAACACAUAAAAGGAAGUUCUUCACACAGCGGCUAGUCAACCUGUCGAACUCCUUGCCUGAGGAGGUUGGACUAUAACAGGGGUUAAAAGAGAACUAGAUAAAUUCAGGGAGGUUAAGUCCAUUAAUGGCUAUUAGCCAGGAUGGGUAAGGAAUGGUGUCCCUAGCCUCUGUUUGUCAGAGGGUGGAGAUGGAUGGCAGGAAAAAGAUCACUUGAUCAUUACCUGUUAGGUUCACUCCCUCUGGGACACCUGGCAUUGGUCACUGUUGGCAGACAGGAUACUAGGCUGGAUGGACCUUUGGUCUGACGCAGUAUGGCCAUUCUUAUUCUGUAGAUGCUUGGAUGGGAAGAGGUGGAAGAAAAUACAUAUCAUAACAACUAUUUAUAUAAACUAAAGAGUGAGAUUUCUAUUGUGCUUUCCCCAUUGAAAAGGAUGGUCAAAUGAUAACUCUUCUGCAUAAGAUUCCGCUAUGGAUCAGUCUUUCCUAUUGAAUACUGUCAGUGUUUAAUUUGUAAUUAAAGAGAUGCCAGAGCUCAACCAAUUGUUUUACAUUCAUAACUGAUGCAGCAAGCUCAGAGGUGCCAGGGCUAUGAACUGUCAAACAAGCACAUUGCUGGAAGAGGCAUAUUCAGCAAACUAAUGAUGAAUUCAUAACUCUUGCAGGGCUUUUCUAAUAGCUUUAAGCAAUAAACCUUAGAUAAUUAGAUGUCUUCCCUAUUGUAAGUAUUGAGAUUUAUUAGUGUUUCCACACACAAAAUUAAUUAGGCCUUAUCUUUACAAAAAUUGAAUUUGGGAAAGGGACAUUCCUUAUUGAAUAUUAAGCAGUUAUGGCAGAACCCAAAAGCCAUGACCACAUGUGAUGGUAAGUGCUCCUUCAAGGGUAGCUUUUUUCGGUGGGUUUGUUUUGUUUUUAAAGCCCUCAGUGUCAAGUUAUGGAUUAAUCAGCCAAGAAGUGAUAGAAAAGACUUCAAUCAUUCACACACCCAAGGAUUCUCCAUCUCACUAGCAAUGCAGCGAAAUACUCCUACCUUCACAUUUUUUCUCUUCUCAUUUAUCCCACCUCUCAAGUAUCUACAUUGUGGUUGACUGAAUAGGCUGAACAAGCCUUUGUUCUGGAGCCUGUCCACCUCACUCCCUACUCAGCUAUGGAAUGGAUGUGAAGUAGCAUGAGGCUUUCCCAGCUGGGAAAAAGAGCAUUAGCUUGAAGGUCCCACAAGAGGAAAAUUUGCAUUUACGUUUAUGUAGCUUUUCAUGUCUAAUUGCUUUUCCUCUGGAACCCUAAAUUGAUUAUCAGCAAGAUU
Long non-coding RNA from Gopherus flavomarginatus (Mexican gopher tortoise), 11265 nucleotides. RefSeq lists it as uncharacterized. The transcript has 4 exons. The record is from RefSeq and is a predicted model, not a curated record. Lineage: Eukaryota; Metazoa; Chordata; Testudines; Testudinidae.